CAUUGCAUUUAUUUUGUAUUUAGAUGCCUGUUUGAACAGACAGCACCCACCACAAGUAUUUCAGCUUGCUGUGGGGACCUCGUGCCCCUGAGACUUUCAGCUUCUGUCAGCCCAUCCUCAUGUUACAAUGAUAAGAUGUUGCUCCCAGAGAAAAUAACAGCAACAAAGCCUGGGAUCACUGUGCUGCUGCCAUCAGUAUUUCUGCAGUGAGACGUGAACUGUGCCUUACCUUUUGGGACUCGGUGCCACCGGAGAUCUGCUGGGGGCAAGAAGGUGAGGAGGUCUGGAAGGAACACUGAAUAAAUUCCCUGGUCCAAUUUGCCA
This 324-nucleotide long non-coding RNA is filed under the name Cyanistes caeruleus (blue tit). Its description in RNAcentral is "lncRNA (ENSCCEG00000000047.1)". The record is from RNAcentral. Lineage: Eukaryota; Metazoa; Chordata; Aves; Passeriformes; Paridae.